This 72-nucleotide transfer RNA is filed under the name Bos taurus (domestic cattle). It matches the Rfam family "tRNA". From Rfam's summary of the family: Transfer RNA (tRNA) molecules are approximately 80 nucleotides in length. Their secondary structure includes four short double-helical elements and three loops (D, anti-codon, and T loops). The record is from Rfam by way of RNAcentral. RNAcentral also lists the same sequence under 1 other name. Lineage: Eukaryota; Metazoa; Chordata; Mammalia; Artiodactyla; Bovidae.
UCCCUGGUGGCUCAAAGGGUGAAGCAUCUGCCUGCAGUGCAGGAGACUCAGGUUCAAUCCCUGGUUUGGGAA